Tarenaya hassleriana is the source of this 1387-nucleotide long non-coding RNA. RefSeq lists it as uncharacterized. NCBI's taxonomy places the organism in Eukaryota, Viridiplantae, Streptophyta, Magnoliopsida, Brassicales, Cleomaceae. The transcript is spliced from 2 exons. The record is from RefSeq and is a predicted model, not a curated record.
CCCCCGAAUCUGUUUGGUUACUGAGAAAAAAUCGGCGGAUGCGAAAGGAAAAUCAAUAUGUUCGGAUUUGGAAGUCUCAGCUGCCAACAGACAGAGGUUUAGAACUUUUGAACCUUUGGUUUGGACAUGAUGAACUGGUGGAAAACUUUGUAUAAUUUUUUUUCGUACGAUGUUUAUUCCUUGGUUCUGCAUCUGUUUGGUUGCUGAGAAAACGAGGAAAAGCAUCACUAGGGCUACAUAUUGAAUUUUCCCUCAGUUUCCAGACCGGGUUUCACCGAGUUCUCUCAACUCAAUUGUUUGGAGCGUGAUAAGAGAAUCAGACAAAAAGGGUUUUCUUCACCAAUCCAUCAUAUGUUUGUAGGUUAAGUUCUAUGCUUACCUCUUGGGUCUGCACUUUGAUGAAAGCUUUGGAUUCUGUCGAGGUGUUCCGUUUCAGCAAUUUUUCUGAGGAUGAUGAAUAUGCGGUAUCUCAUGUUUCGACUUCUGAAUCCAGAGUUUCUGCAUCUUGAUGGGUGCAUUUGUGCUUGGCAAUUAUGUUUGAUUCCUUGAUGAAAGAUUAUCACAAGAGCCCUGUACCUUUACAAAUCAAUCCAGCUUAUGCUACAGCAAUGGCGCCGUGUGAUGGAUUUCCAAGGAAGAACACUACUCGUUCAACAGGGAAUAAAUCCUUCACAUGUCUUAACUUUCAUGGAAUCAGAAACGUUGGUUCAAAGGGGACCAUCCACAUAUAGUACCAAUGAGUUGGGUAAUGUGGAGGCGACUAUUAGUGACAUCAAUGGUUAAAGUUCAUCUAGAGAGCAUUUCCCAAUGCUCAUAUGCCUCUUUCAUGAGUUUCUAUUUCUAUGCAUGGAAGUGGGGAUGAUGGAUGGAUAAGAACAGAUUCACAUGCCAAACGUAUCAUGUCUAUGUCAUGACAUCAUUUGGCUAAAGGGCACUCAAGGGAGACUUGUUCCUUUUUGUUGUGUGGCUUGCUGUUCUGGCAGAGAAUUGGGAAUCUCUCCAAGGUGACAAUGGACGCUCCAGCUUCUGGGCCGAUGGGGGCAAGCGUGAAUUGGCACUGUGAUUCCAUUCUCCAAUUGGGUAAGACAGCAGAGUCCAUAUUAUUGAAGAUGAGAAACGUCAAUGAUCUUUUCUGUAAAUGAUGAUGAUGAUGUGAUUCUACUUGUUGCUGGCCAUUUUCAAAGAGUAAAUUUUGUUAAAUCUACUUUAGAAAGAUAUGGAAGCUUGUUCUCAUUCACAUUCAGGAAGCCACUGAAACUUCAACACAAACAGAACAGUUAGUCCUAAAACUAAGACGAAAAUCUCUGUUUCCUCCAAAUAACUCAACUCGGCAUUGAUUCACGUGUCGAAAUAAUCUUUAGUUUUACAAGAUUUCUUCACGACGAAA